Molecule: ribosomal RNA, 245 nt
Filed under: uncultured bacterium
Lineage: Bacteria
Description: partial small subunit ribosomal RNA
Rfam family: Bacterial small subunit ribosomal RNA
Source: RNAcentral
AGAAUCAACGCUGGCGGCGUGCCUAACACAUGCAAGUCGCACGGGAAAGGGUAGCAAUACCUGAGUAAAGUGGCGCACGGGUGAGUAACACGUGAAUAAUCUACCUCCGAGUGGGGAAUAACUGAGAGAAAUCUUAGCUAAUACCGCAUAACACUUACGAGUCAAAGCAGCAAUGCGCUUGGAGAGGAGUUCGCGGCAGAUUAGUUAGUUGGCGGGGUAAUGGCCCACCAAGACGAUGAUCUGUA